CGAGCGUCAUUACAACCCUCAAGCUCAGCUUGGUAUUGGGCUCGCCCUUCGUAGGCCUGCCUCAAAAUCAGUGGCGGCUCCGUCCAGUCUCAAGCGCAGUAAUACUCGUCGCUUGUUAGGCUUGGUCAGCGGUUUGCUAGCAACCCCCCCAAUUUUACAAGGUUGACCUCGGAUCAGGUAGGGAUACCCGCUGAACUUAA
This 200-nucleotide unclassified non-coding RNA is filed under the name soil metagenome. RNAcentral describes it as "partial contains internal transcribed spacer 2 and large subunit ribosomal RNA". The record is from RNAcentral.